Molecule: small RNA, 126 nt
Filed under: Marmota monax (woodchuck)
Lineage: Eukaryota; Metazoa; Chordata; Mammalia; Rodentia; Sciuridae
Source: RNAcentral
GCUGGGCGUGGUGGUGUACACCUGUAACCCCAGUGGCUUGGGAGCCUGAGGCAGGAGGAUCAUGAAUUCACAGGCAAUGUCACUUAAAAGCCAGGUGCUAAGCAACUCAUUGAGACCCUAUCUCUA